Molecule: ribosomal RNA, 519 nt
Filed under: Triticum aestivum (bread wheat)
Lineage: Eukaryota; Viridiplantae; Streptophyta; Magnoliopsida; Poales; Poaceae
Description: partial small subunit ribosomal RNA
Source: RNAcentral
AUGAGCGGGCCGUCCAUGACGUGCUGGCGAGCUGGGGCGGCCGAAGUGACGUGGCCACUUCGCUAUGGCAGGACGCCUACCACGCCAGUCUGUCUCGCCUCUGGUGAUGAAGUGCUCGGCUCCAGUAGCGUCAGACUGGGGCCUCCUUGUGGUCACGAGGUGUUUGUGGAAAUGCCACAAUGCUGCUGCACGUGUGUUGCAGUCAAAGAGGGGAGAGUGUACCAUACCAACCGGAUGCUCAGCUUCUACGCCCCCAGUGAGCCUCCCCCAUUUGCUGAUUCUAAAACUGCUCAACCUUUUCAGAUCACCGAAGACUUCUCGACAAGUUGGUGUUGUAUGGCCUGGUUGAGCUCAAGGUUAACGGAGACAACAAUUGUCAGUUUCGGGCAUUGUCUGAUCCAUUUUACCGAACUCCUGAACACCAUAGAUUUGUGUGGCAACAGGUGGUCAAUCAGCAGCACAGCCGUAUGUACAAGAAGCAGAGCGCAUCAGUUCAUGCUCGAGCCCCGAAGAAGGUAG